This 433-nucleotide ribosomal RNA is filed under the name uncultured bacterium. RNAcentral describes it as "bacterial SSU rRNA". It matches the Rfam family "Bacterial small subunit ribosomal RNA", at positions 29 to 507 of the family's 1533-position model. The record is from RNAcentral.
AACGAACGCUGGCGGCAGGCCUAACACAUGCAAGUCGAACGAACCCUUCGGGGUGAGUGGCGCACGGGUGCGUAACACGUGGGAAUAUACACAUAGGUAAGGAAUAACUCAGGGAAACUUGCGCUAAUACCUUAUAAUAACUCCGGUUCAAAGACUUAUCGCCUAUGGAUUAGCCCGCGCUAGAUUAGUUUGUUGGUGAGGUAAGAGCUCACCAAGACUACGAUCUAUAGCUGGUCUUAGAGGAUGAUCAGCCACACUGGAACUGAGACACGGUCCAGACUCCUACGGGAGGCAGCAGUGAGGAAUAUUGCGCAAUGGAGGAAACUCUGACGCAGCCAUGCCGCGUGAAUGAAGAAGGCCUUAGGGUUGUAAAAUUCUUUCAGAUGCGAAGAUAAUGACGGUACCAUCAGAAGAAGCUCCGGCUAAAUUCGUG